CACACCAAAAGAGGUUUCUAAUUCUACACUAAACAGAACUCGAAACAUGAAAAUAGUUUUUUCAACCUUUUCUGUUAGUGUGUCCAGUCCCCUGGCAAGGUGUUACACAACACUUGAUUAAGUGGUGUUACAACAUAUGAACUGGGGACAGCAUCCAAGAUGUCCAACCUUUGUUUUUUGAACGUAAUCUUACUCACGCUCGCAUACGCCAUUUUCGUGGUGGUUGCCAUCUGCUUUACAGAGCUCGACAACGCCUGCGCACUAGCCCUCAGUCCCUCUGGAGAUGCACUGGAGCAGGGAAUCUCCAAAUGCCAUGUUGAACGAGCACCACGGAUGAAGGAGGCGGAGGAAAACAGACAGCUUCUUUCUCCCACAUCUUCACCAAGUCAUACAAUGUUUACUUCAUGAACAACUGUUACAUCAGAAAUAAAUACAUUCUUUUAGUUUA
Molecule: long non-coding RNA, 448 nt
Organism: Oncorhynchus nerka (sockeye salmon)
Lineage: Eukaryota; Metazoa; Chordata; Actinopteri; Salmoniformes; Salmonidae
Exons: 2
Source: RefSeq, a predicted model, not a curated record